This is a long non-coding RNA of Beta vulgaris subsp. vulgaris (sugar beet), 2429 nucleotides long. RefSeq lists it as uncharacterized. NCBI's taxonomy places the organism in Eukaryota, Viridiplantae, Streptophyta, Magnoliopsida, Caryophyllales, Amaranthaceae. The transcript is spliced from 4 exons. The record is from RefSeq and is a predicted model, not a curated record.
AUCUUUUUUAUUUGGUUAUUCCCUUCCUGAAAAGUUCACAUGCUUUGUCUCCAUCAUUUAAGUUCCACUUUGAGUAUUAGGAAAUGAAACUCAUUGAUAAACUGAGAUAUUGGUCAUAUGUUGAGGAAAGUAUUCUGCAUCAAAAAUACAGAAUAAAUUGGCUUUCUUUCGGAGAUUCUAUCUCCAAAUUCUUCUUCACAACUGUAAAGAUUCGAAAAGCUGCUUGAUAUUUAUCACAAGUGAUCAGAUUAGAAGCAACUAUAUUGAUGUUUCAAAUUUCUAGGAGGAAAGCUGAAAUAUUGUUUGCCAUAUUAAAGUUUAUGUGUGACCAACUGCACCUUUUUUGGGCCCAGCUAGCUCAUGAAGUGGUCCGCUCUAUUGCUGGUGAGUGACAUGGAAUUUUACGAAGCGACUUCUACUUUUUUGAGGGGUGGCUUGAUGAGCUUUGACCCACAAAUUGGAUGACGUUGCACCUGAAACCACCUACUGCACCUGAGACCCAAAAAUUAUCCCAGCAACCAUCAAAUAAUAUCACCCCCAUUAGCAUUACAAAGAAAUUAGCCAACAAAAUACAUCAGCUUUAACAGAUAAACCAAACUCUAUAUGUAGUCUCUAGCUAAUGUCCAAUUCACUAGCUAAAUCUCUGGUCAUGUAGAUACAAGCUUCCUUCUCCAUCAUGUUUCCUAGCUAGAGAACAUACACUUUCCUUUUUCAAAUUCUAUGGCUGAGUUCAGAUGGAACCUAGACUUGUUAAAAAACUCUCCAACAUCUAUUCGAUCCAAGAAUAAAAGUCAUAAAGUUAAUGGUUGAUCUCAUAGAUUUUCAAUUUCAGAUCUCCAAUACAUAUUUGACCUGUACAUAUAAUAACUGAAAAGCACAAAUCCUAGGUUUUACACCUGCUUGUACCCUCCCCCACAUCUUCAUAACCUAUGAAACAUUGAUAUUUUGAAGAUAGCUUUCUGUAGUUAAAAAUCACGUCUUCCAAAGGAGAUUAAAAAUUCAUAGUCCUUUCAGGAAAAAAAAAAGCAGCCCUGCAAUAGAAUGCAGAUAGAAAGUAGCCUAGAAUCUCAAAUUUAGAGAUUUGCUGAUAGUAAAGGAAUUGUGUUUUCUUAUUUACUUUAGAGAACUAAAGAAUCAACAGGACAGGAAGCUCUAUAAAUGCAUGACCCAAGCUGAAGGAUAUGCAAUUCCUGUUAUGAUGAAAGAAACAUAGAAAUUCAAAGAUCCUAUUUGGUUCUCACACUUAAUAAAGCAUAAGCAAUUAAUUAACAUGAUAUAACAUGAAACCCCUUGUGUAGCCGCAGUUCCCUAAACAAUCAGACCCUCCUGUGCAAGAGACAUAACAAAUAUAUUCUAGUAAUUCCUGCAGAAUUUUCCUGUUGUGCUUCUAGUAAUUCCUGAGAUUUGAAUAAAGAUGGACGGAGUUCUUGCCGUGCUUCUAGUAAUUCCGAGUGUCACAAAGAUGCUGGUUCAUUUCUAGCAAAAGAACUUUGAGCAAUUAAUUAACAUGAUAUAGCUAUUACCUGCAGAAAUGAUGAGAGCUUGAGCAGUAUAGUUAAGGUUGGACUUCACCCAUGGAAUGACACGGCAACCAACUAGGUGCAGUAUUGAAAUAGAGACAGUAUUAGCAUGUAGUCUCUGCCAAAAGAAGAUUAGCAGAAACAUAUCCACAAGUAUCAACUCAAAAGCCCCAUAUCUUCCACCUCACUGCUGAAACAUUGUUCCACCAGCCAGUGAGUGCAUCUUAUUAGCCACCACCACCAUGGGGCUAUGUCAUCAAUAACUAUAGCACCACCAAAGCCUUUUUCUAAAUUCUAAGCAUCUCUUAUGGAAUUUCCACUAGACUUGUACAUAUCUGGGGAAUAAGAAGAAGAAUAGCAGUUGGCAAUAAUGUAAUGCAUUUAGCACGUACCAUCGAAAAGAUAUCAAGAAGAUUAAAAAGAAUCCCGAAAUUAGAUGGAAUCAAAUAGAGUGCCCUUGCCAACCGCCUGGUACUUUAGACUGUGGAUAUUAUGUGUGCCGCUACAUGCUUGAGACGGUACAGUUGAGACGAUUAGUUAAUCCUGAUAAGUACUAUCAAGGCAUUGGUGAACAUAUUCUCAGGAGAAAAUUGAUGAACUGAGAGAGUUAUGGAUUACAUAUGUCGGAGAUCAACACGAAGCACAAAUGAUGAAUGAGUUCUAACUUUUCGCCUAAUUUUUUUUAACCUUAAUCCACAUUUGGACAUACAUUAUAUUUUUGGAUUUGGAUAUUGAUAUCAUGUGGAUGUGGCUAUAGGAUAGAUUUGAUCUUGUUUAUGAUUUAGAUUAAUAUUAAUAUGUAUAUAUAGUAGUUUUUUAAAAGUUUAGAUUUAUGAAUAUUAGUUGAAUUAUUUUGUAAUAUAAAGAAUUUUGGAAGUUUGGAAUAUCAAUUCAAUUUAUUGGUUGUAA